UGGCGGCGCGUUUUAAGCAUGCAAGUCGAACGGUAACCAUCCUUCGGUGAUGGCUAGAGUGGCGAACGGGUGAGUAACACGUAGGUGAUCUGCCCUUGAGUUGGGGAUAGCCCAUGGAAACAUGGGGUAAUACCGAAUACGCUCAGGACCCUGUGGGGAUCUGAGGAAAAGCGCUUCGGCGCUGCUCGAGGAUGAGCCUGCGGCUGAUUAGUUAGUUGGUGGGGUAACGGCCUACCAAGGCGACGAUCAGUAGCCGGCCUGAGAGGGUGAGCGGCCACACUGGGACUGAGAUACGGCCCAGACUCCUACGGGAGGCAGCAGCUAAGAAUCUUCUACAAUGGACGAAAGUCUGAUAGAGCGACGCCGCGUGGGUGAUGAAGGCCGGAAGGUUGUAAAGCCCUUUUCUAUUCGAGGAAUAACCAUGGGAGGCAAUGCCUGUGGGAUGACGGUAGGGUAGGAAUAAGCCCCGGCCAAUUACGUGCCAGCAGCCGCGGUAACACGUAUGGGGCGAGCGUUGUUCGGAAUCAUUGGGCGUAAAGGGCGCGUAGGCGGAUAUGCAAGCUUGGUGUGAAAGACCGCAGCUCAACUGCGGGAGCGCGCUGAGAACUGCAUAUCUUGAGUUCAAGAGGGGAAGCUGGAAUUCCAGGUGUAGGGGUGAAAUCUGUAGAUAUUUGGAAGAACAUCAGUGGCGAAGGCGAGCUUCUGGCUUUGAACUGACGCUGAGGCGCGAAAGCGUGGGGAGCGAACAGGAUUAGAUACCCUGGUAGUCCACGCUGUAAACGAUGUGCACUAGGUGUUGGGCCGUUGAAGGCUCAGUGCCGUAGCUAACGCGUUAAGUGCACCGCCUGGGGAGUAUGCUCGCAAGAGUGAAACUCAAAGGAAUUGACGGGGG
RNAcentral lists this ribosomal RNA (892 nucleotides) under uncultured organism. RNAcentral's name for it is "bacterial SSU rRNA". It matches the Rfam family "Bacterial small subunit ribosomal RNA", at positions 37 to 919 of the family's 1533-position model. The record is from RNAcentral.